RNAcentral lists this ribosomal RNA (450 nucleotides) under uncultured bacterium. RNAcentral's name for it is "partial 16S ribosomal RNA". It matches the Rfam family "Bacterial small subunit ribosomal RNA", at positions 354 to 796 of the family's 1533-position model. The record is from RNAcentral.
GUGAGGAAUUUUGCGCAAUGGCCGCAAGGCUGACGCAGCAACGCCGCGUGGGUGAUGAAGGCCUUCGGGUCGUAAAGCCCUGUCAGGUGGGAAGAAAGGCUUGGAGAAGCAACGCUUUGAGUUUGACGGUACCACCAGAGGAAGCACCGGCUAACUCCGUGCCAGCAGCCGCGGUAAUACGGAGGGUGCGAGCGUUAUUCGGAAUUACUGGGCGUAAAGCGCGUGUAAGCGGGGAUGCAAGUCUGAUGUGAAAGCCCUGGGCUUAACCUGGGAAGUGCAUUGGAAACUGCAUUUCUUGAGUACUGGAGAGGAAGGGUGAAUUCCCGGUGUAGAGGUGAAAUUCGUAGAGAUCGGGAGGAAUACCAGUGGCGUAGGCGCCCUUCUGGACGGUAACUGACGCUGAGACGCGAAAGCGUGGGGAGCAAACAGGAUUAGAAACCCGGGUAGUCC